RNAcentral lists this long non-coding RNA (5048 nucleotides) under Sus scrofa (pig). RNAcentral's name for it is "lncRNA (ENSSSCG00000053430.1)". The record is from RNAcentral. Lineage: Eukaryota; Metazoa; Chordata; Mammalia; Artiodactyla; Suidae.
GAAAAAAAUAACAAAUUGAGAGAAUUCUAUCCAUGAACUGUUUGUUCUCGAAACUAAGAGAUUAGACUUAUUAAAAGUGGCAUUGAUAUUAUAAAGCUCUAGUUUUCAUCAAAAUAUAGCCAGAAAAAUUCCAAGAUAUAUGAUAGGUCAAAUGAGCUCAUUAAUCAAUUAUAUGCAUCUAACGCCUAUUUUGUGCAAGGCAUUUCCCAGGCACUGUAAGUUGAAAGGAUAGUUACUUACAGAAACUGCUAAUAUAACAGGAUCUACGCAUAACUUUGCCAAGAUCAUUCUCGUAAUUCUGUGCCACUCUAAUGAGGGUGAUAAAAACAUUCAUUUUUUCCUUCAUUUACAAGAUUUAUUAAGCACCACUCUGUUCUAGGCAUUGCACAAAGCAUCAGCAAUUGAGAAAUAAGAAAAAUACAGCACACCAUCAAAAAGCUAGGACUCUAAUGACCUCAAGUUAUUAAAGGUCCCUCCAAACUAUGUCUACCAGAAGUGGAAAGAAUCUGGUCUCAUCCCUCUAGACGACCCUCUACAGACAGGAAUGCUUCCUAGAUUGGAAUCGGUGAGGGACAAUGUGGAAGAAAGUGAAAGCGGAAAUUCUGCAUCAAAGUGGUCCUGAUCCCAUCAGCUCAGGGAAGCCUGAGGUGGUUGUAUGGGAACUUUCAGCUUGGGUUCAAGGCUUGGGACGUUAUAGCGCUAGAUGAGCUCUGCAAGGAAGAGUUUCCAGAGUGUCCGAGAAAGUUCUGGAAGAAACCAGCUUUCUCUUCCUCUCUGAAUCACUACUAUGAUUGAGACCCGGCAAGGAACUAAGCUGCUUCCACUUCAUUGUGUUGACCAAGAGACGCUUAUAGUAAAGACCAAUAUACAGCGUCUAGUUGAAGAGAAAGUGUCACAGUUCUUCUGGAAACCUGCCCAUCACAGUGUCCUGGGGCAAGAAAAGAAGUGUGACCAGUGUCCUAAGGAGUCAACUGCACUUUGGACAGCGCUGCCAAGCACACCCCUGGCUUCCUCCAGAGGAUGCCACGUAGUGGUCUUUGUUCUCCUUGCAUACACAUCUAAGGCACCUGGAACCCCAAGGAUUGUGUUUUCCCCAGGAGGAAUACACCUGUGUCCUCACUUGUCUUUGAAGGCUUGCUUGUUUCAGGAUGAACGUUUAAACAGACCAUAAGACCUUUCUUUGUAUUCAAAUCAACCCAAAGUUCUCGUAUCACUGAUAUCACACUAUUGAAAACCGAGCCACAGCCCCUAAAUCUGGUAGCAGGUGUCACGAUGCCCAGGUCAGAACAUGCUAGGAACCAGGCUGUCUGUAGUUUUAGUGCUUUAGGAAACCAGUAAUGGAAAACGCCAAAGCGAUAGGAAGGAAAUAGAGAUACCCUGGAUAAAGAUUUGACUUCUCUUCAAACGUGUUUGUGUUUGGCUUUUCUGACAUGUUUUGAUUUUCGAAAGAGACAAUCCGUGUAGAUAAAGCCCCCAAAACAGUGGCUGCUACAUACGGGGGACUGUCAGUCAUGUUCUUUUUUUUUUCACAGCGUGUGUGAAUUCUAUUGCCUCAGUCUUUGGUAUUACCCGUGAACUCUAAACUUACAUCAGAAAAAAAUGGGUAGAUACAAUUUCAGUUUUUACACGACAAAAAACAGGCAUUUUCACAAUUGCUAUUUAAAUAAGGACAUCCCUAGAAAUAAAAAUGCUUACUUUUUGCAUCAGGAUAGGGAAGAGGGGGAUUGUUGGAAUGAAGAAAGCAGGAUUAUCAGAUCCCAGUGGUUGAGCUGUGGCAGUUUCUUUGGACGUACCACACGAGGCCCUGCAUCACUGUCUCAAAGGAGGAACUUAUAGGAGGUAAAGCCAAAUAGCCGGAAUAAUUAAAUAUAAAGAAAGGAGUAGUUUCGACAACGAACAUCAACCACGCCAUGAUGUCUGUUGGACCAAUGCUAGCCAUGACUGAAGAACUUCCCAGAAAGCGCUUAGACCCAAGGGGACUUAUUCCCACCUUUGAACAACCUCAACUCUGGCCUUGCUGGAGGGAAACUCUGACUAGUAUUUUUGCUUUAUUGUCAUAGAUGCAGGUAGGUAUAACUUCAUAGAUUCUUAGAGACUCAGAGCAAGAAGAGACUUUGACCGCCCAGAAAAACCACUUUGCUUUUUCUAUCAGGAAGCAGAGACUCCAAGCACAGGGAAUCACACUUAGUCAGUGACUGGAUGCAUGAUGGGGUAGCAGAAUCUAGAACUCGGGUCUUCUAACUCCUGGUCCAUACGUUGGAGAUCAAAAACUAAAAAGUGAUAUAUACCCAGUGAGAACAGAGGAUCGCUAUUGGACCCAGGGGAUAGAGAGAAUUUCCUGGUCCACUGGAGCAACUGCUACGUGAGACAUCUGUAUCAGCACCUCUUCCCAUCUCUUACCAUUGAUGAUCGCACGCCUUGAAAGAAGGCACCUUUCCUUCUUCCAAAAUCCCGCUGUAUUCAAAAGGCGUGGAAAUGCCACUGCUGCUGAGUGCGGUGGAGAAAAGGAAAGAAGAACACCCCUCCCCUCCCCUGACCUCUCCCACUGUGUUGCCCAUCUGUCCUCCCACACUUAGGCUGCUUCAGCUCUUUGGUCCAACCUUGGACUCAUUUAGCUCCUGAGUCAAGUCCCAGAUGAUCUCUUUAGCUACAAGCCAAUUUAACAGGGUUUCUCUUGAAACAAAACAAAACUUUAGGGGCUUUGAUUUUAGGAAAUGAGAUGCGAUUUCUUUGAGGAAUUAUAUGACCCCAAGUUACCAGGUCUACUAAAGUUGUCCCAUGUGCACUGGGGUCUCUGGGUCUCUUCUGGGCACAGACUGGUUCCCCCCACUUUGUCCCAAAGAAUGUCUGUCUUGGCCAGAUGACAACCAGGUAUUCUAGAGUCUUUCCCCAAAACUACAACAAAGCAAACAGGAUUCAACUAAUGAUAGGUUUGUAUAACUAGAAAAUUAUUUUAAAAAGUAAGCAGGUCUCUAUUGGCUCAAAUGAGGAUUUCCACAGUUGGUUUCCACUUAUGUUGUGCUUGGGAUAGAUUUUCCAGGAUUUGGCUGAGAUGCCCCACUGCUCUUGUUAAACCCAGAAGUGGGAUGUUCAGGCUGGGCCAGAAGCUCUGAAGAGAUGGUCAGAAAGAAAGGUGGUCAAGUUUUUGGCCAGUGAUUUUAAAGACUGUCAUUCUAUUUUUCUUCGCCUUCGCAUAGCCCCAUUCUGGAGUUUAAAUAAGUUUCAGAGAGAAAGAAAGAAAAAAUGGGCUGUCUGGGAGAAUAUCCUGGAGUUCCCUGGUGGCCUAGUGGUUAAGGAUCCAGCAAUGCUACUGCUGUGGCUUAGGUUCUGUCCUUGGUCCUGGAAUUUGUGCAUGCCAUGGGUGUGUCCAAAAAAAUAAAGAAUAUUCUGAGGGUGACUUAUAAUUAAGCCGUCAAAAGCCUUGCGCAGGGCUUAGGAAUGUAUUUGCAGUUCCUCUUAGACUUGUCAAGUGGACUACAAUUUAACGCCUAAGAGUAAUACAAAAUGAGAGCAUGUUUUUCAGUAUUCUCUUCCUCAGCCCACAAGACUGAGGUCAGGGAAGGGGAGUGAAACUCGCCCUAAACUCUCUUUAUGUGUGGCACCUGACCUCCAAGUCCUCUCUCUCUGCCCCUCUCUCUUGACUUCAUGCAGUCCUCAUCACAGCCUCACAGGGAGAUGGUACACCUUCCAUCUUCUAGAUGAGAAAGCUGGAGAUGAGAGGCAGGAAUGUCACACAGUAGAAGUGGUACAGCUGAGCUCCCACCCAAAGCUCAUGUGCCUCCAAAGCUCAUUUUUUUCCUCCCCAGCCCACGUCUCCCAGGUCAAUGGAACUGCUCCCCAAUCACACCCUGUAGUCUUGCACAAAGCCUUGCUCUCCUACACCUGUCACCUUUCCAGUAAAAUGUCACAGUCCUCCUGGUUCCCUGGAGGGAAGAGUGAUUCUUGUACCAACUGUUUCCCUUGCUGUUCAGUGGAUCCUGCCUAUUCCUUUGAGCAUCUUCACAAUCCAGCUGUCGGUGGCAGAAGACAAAGCUACAUAAAUUGUCAUCUGGUUCAUGCUGGAAUCCGUUUGCUCUGGGAGUUUGGUGUGGCUACAGAUGAUCCCACAAAUGCCUCUUGUUCGUUGCCCCCAGGGAUCUCCUCUCAUUGUUUCCACCGAACAAGUUCAAAUGUCCUUCCUGACUCUGGUCUUUUGUCUCUAGACUAUACCUUUAUUUCAGGGCUUUGAAAUCCUGCAGAAACAGGUGAGUCGUCAAAAACCUUCUCUGGAAGGCCAGACGCUCAGAGCACUUGUGUUUCUCUGUCUCAAUAUUAAAAGAUCAAGGUUUCCAGUGGAGCCAACCUGAUCUAAUAAUUGGGCUCUUCUUUUCCCUCUGAAUCCUCUUCCAAGGGAGAGAAGCACAGCCCCAGCCUCCAAAAUUAAGCAUCCAGGUCGAAGGCCAAGUUCCAAGUCUGGCAGCCACCAUUUAGUUGGGGGGCCAAGGGCGUUGCUGUUGGGGAGGUAAGGCAGGCACCGCCCCUCUUGAAAACCAUCCUAGAAAGAUGAGCCCACUUGGUCAGAUGUGCCAAUCAUUCCCAGUUUUAAAGAGGAAAAUGCUUUCCACAUUGCUUCCAAUGGGAUAUGGCUAUGCUUCCUCGUUUUUCUCUUGGUACCGUAGCAGUGAGGGAAACACCAGUCUCAGAAGAGCAGGUGAGGUUUCCAGGGACAUCGGAUCUAUAUUUGGGAUUGUAUUUUCAUUCAUUCCCUUUUACAGCAUAGCAUUCUGGUACCUUGCUCCCUGAAUUUGUCUCCAUGCUACAAGCAGGCUUUCUUCACAUUCUGGCUUACACGGGAACACAACUCUUCCACAAGUGGCCUUUAGUGCUCUUUAUAAUAUGAUUUCCUGUAAUUUUUAAACUGUAUGUGUAAUUUAUAUUCUGGCUCUGUCCGAUAUUUGAACAACUUUAAUAGGUUGAUUUCCAUAUAUAUUAUGCAGACAAUUCUUACCUGGUUUUUUUUUUAUGUUCUAUCUUAAAAUAAAUACUGCACCACUUAUUAAUAAAUAGAC